Molecule: long non-coding RNA, 2149 nt
Filed under: Homo sapiens (human)
Lineage: Eukaryota; Metazoa; Chordata; Mammalia; Primates; Hominidae
Description: non-protein coding lnc-CCM2-3:1
Source: RNAcentral
GGUCAGACUUUGGGGGAGUAACUCAUACUAACCCAAACCUAUCAGACAAAUGUAUAAUGCAAAUCACCAAUGUAUUGUGAGUGUGGAGUUGUAUACAAAAUGGACAACCAGCCCAUUUGUACAACUAGAACUCUGAAGUACAGCCUGCAGCCACCUACCCAGGAAAACAACAUUUUCUUUUUUUUUCUGAGACAGAGUCUUACUCUGUUGCCCAGGCUGGAGUUCAGUGGCGCGAUCUCGGCUCACUGCAACCUCCGCCUCCCGGGUUCAAUCAAUUCUCCUGCCUCAGCCUCCUGAGUCUCAUCUGUACUCCCAGCUACUGAGAAGGCUGAGGCAGGAAGAUCACAUGAGCCUGGAAAUUCAAGGUUACAAUAAGCUAUGAUUCUGUCACUGCACUCCAGCCUGGGCAACAGGACAAGCCCUGUCUCAAAAAAAAAUUAGCAUCUUAACAAUUUUCAAGUGCACAGUUCAGUGGUGUUAAGUACAUUCACAUUGAUGUGCAAUCACUACAUCCAUCUCCAGAACUUUUUCAUCUUCCCAAACUGAAUUUCUGUCCCCAUUAAACACUAACUCCCCAUUUCCCUUCCCCCAGCCCCUGGCAGCAACUCUUUUAUACAUAUACCCAGAAUUGGGAUUGCUGGAUCAUAUGAGAAUUUUUAAAAAAUUUUUUGAGGAACUGACAUACUGUAUUCUAUAGAGGCUACUGCCAAAUUUUUAUUUUUAACUCCUCUUUUUAAGAUCUGUGAAGAGCUUCUGUCUUAGUCCAUUUGUGCUGCUAUAAAAGAAUAUCACAGACUUCCAAACACAAAGAAAAGAUAAAUGUUUGAGGUGAAGAAUAUCCCAAUUACCCUGAUUUGAUGAUUAAUAUUGUAUACUUGCCUGGAUGUGGUGGCUCACGCCUGUAAUCUCAGCACUUUGGGAGGUAGAGGCAGGUGGAUCACUUGAAGUCAGGAGUUUGAGUCUAGCCUGGCCAACAUGGUGAAACCCCAUCUCUACUGAAAAUACAAAAAUUAGCCAAGCAUGGUGGUGGGCACCUGUAAUCCCAGCUACUCAGGAGGCUGAGGCAGGAGAAUCGCCUGAGCUAGGGGGGCAGAAGCUGCAGUGAGCCAAGAUAGCACCACUGCAUUCCAGCUUGGGUGACAGAGUGAGACUCCAUCUCAAAAAAACAAUUAUAUACAUGUAUCGAAAUAUCAUACGUACCCUCCAAAUAUGUACAACUAUGAUAUGUCAAUUUGAAAAAGAAUACCACAGACUAAAUAAUUUAUAAAGAAAAGAAAUUUAUUUGUCACAGUUCUGAAGACUGGGAAGUCCAAGAUCAAGUUGCCACCAUCGGGUGAGGGCCCUCUGCUGUGUCAUCUCAUGGCAGAAGGCAGAAAGGCAAGACAGCAAGCUAGCCAAGUGCAGCAUGAAGGCUCUUUUUUAAGAGCCUUAAUCUCAUUAAUUUAUUUAUCCCAUUUAUGUAUUCAUUCCUUAUUAGGAAGGAGCCCUCAUGGCGUAAUCACCUCUUAAAGGUCCCAUCUCUUAAUGUCAGCACACUGGUAACAUCUGAAUUUUGGAGAGGAUACAUCCAAACCAUAGCGUUCUGCUCCAUACCCUCCCCAAAACUUAUGUCCUUCUCACAUACAAAAUGCAUUCAUUUCAUUCCAAUAGCCCCAAAAGUCUUAACUCCUUCCGGAAUCAACUCAAAAGUCUAAAAUCAAAAGUCUCAGGUAAAUCAAAUAUGAGUGAGACUCAAGGUGUGAUUCUUCCUGAGGCAAAUUGUUCUCCAGCUGUGAAUCUGUGGAAUCAAACAAGUACUUGUUUCCAAAAUACAAUAGAGGAACAGGCAUAGCAUAAACAUUCUCAUUCCAAAAGGGUGCAAUAGGAAAGAAGGAAGGAGUAACCAACAGAAUAAAUAACAUUAAAUCUUAAGACUUAAUAAUAUUUGGCUAGGUGUGACAGCUCACCCCUGUAAUCCCAGCACUUUGGAGGCCAAGGUGGGAGGAUUGCUUCCGCUGGUGACUUUACAGGUCUGAGGUCUUGGGGGCAGCCCCACUCCCAUGGCUCCAUUAAGCAUUGCCCUAGUGGAUGCUCUCAUUUGUGGCUCUCCCCCUGCAGCAAGUCACUACCUGGACCCUGAGGCUGUUUGAGACAUCUUUUGGAAUGUAGG